GGCAUAUUCAAUGAUCGUACAAUCUCAGAAACACACAAUCUUACAGCUGUUCAACCAGCUAUUCGAUAGCCUUCUAUAUAAUCAGCCAAAAUCUUGAGGAUCAAGAUAAGCCAAUCAAUUUUUUUCAGAGAACUUGUUGCUGCUCUUAUUAUUCUCUAAAUCUGACUUGAGCAUCGGAGGAUCCUUAUUAGAGCAAAAAAUUUUGAUUUGAACUUAUUUUGUAAAUCACUCCAACACCAGCAUCCCUAUACGAGGCUCAGUCGCUUUCUCUCUGACCUCGAUCGAAUCGAGCAGCAAU
RNAcentral lists this long non-coding RNA (298 nucleotides) under Elaeis guineensis (African oil palm). RNAcentral's name for it is "long non-coding RNA (EGUI_LNC011980)". Lineage: Eukaryota; Viridiplantae; Streptophyta; Magnoliopsida; Arecales; Arecaceae. The record is from RNAcentral.